CAGCAGCCGCGGUAAUACGAAGGGUGCAAGCGUUAAUCGGAAUUACUGGGCGUAAAGCGUGCGUAGGCGGUGAGUUAAGUCCGCUGUGAAAUCCCCGAGCUUAACUUGGGAACUGCAUUUGAAACUGGCAAGCUAGAGUCUUAUAGAGGGGGGUAGAAUUCCAGGUGUAGCGGUGAAAUGCGUAGAGAUCUGGAGGAAUACCGGUGGCGAAGGCGGCCCCCUGGACAAAGACUGACGCUCAGGUGCGAAAGCGUGGGGAGCAAACAGGAUUAGAUACCCCGGUAGUCCCUGUCUCUUAUAC
This 301-nucleotide ribosomal RNA is filed under the name uncultured bacterium. RNAcentral describes it as "partial 16S ribosomal RNA". It matches the Rfam family "Bacterial small subunit ribosomal RNA", at positions 509 to 807 of the family's 1533-position model. The record is from RNAcentral.